Molecule: long non-coding RNA, 200 nt
Filed under: Lathyrus oleraceus (garden pea)
Lineage: Eukaryota; Viridiplantae; Streptophyta; Magnoliopsida; Fabales; Fabaceae
Description: Pisum sativum (pea) long non-coding RNA (PSAT_LNC005267)
Source: RNAcentral
GAUAUCUCUGACUUCAAUAGCAUGAGAAUGUAUGAACCAUGCAUUAAGCAUUAGUGGUAUGCACUAAUUUGUAGCAUAGUUAUAUAUCAUCAUAUAGUUUUUACAAAAGAUAAACAUUGACUAGAAAAUAUAUAUGUAGAAUUGUAUAAUGGUCUAACUAAAGCUAACAGAAGAAUAGUCGACUCUAAUUUACUCUAUCA